CAAUAGCGUAUAUUUAAGUUGCUGCAGUUAAAAAGCUCGUAGUUGGAUUUCGGGUGGGAAUGGCCGGUCCGCCGUUUCGGUGUGCACUUGCUACGCCCACCUUGCUGCCGGGGACGUGCUCUUGAGUUCACGCUCGGGACACGGAGUCGGCGAGGUUACUUUGAGUAAAUUGGAGUGUUCAAAGCAGGCCUACGCUCUGAAUACAUUAGCAUGGAAUAACACGAUAGGACUCUGGCCUAUCUUGUUGGUCUGUAGGACCGGAGUAAUGAUUAAGAGGGACAGUCGGGGGCACUCGUAUUUCAUUGUCAGAGGUGAAAUUCUUGGAUUUAUGAAAGACGAACUACUGCGAAAGCAUUUGCCAAGGAUGUUUUCAUUAA
Molecule: ribosomal RNA, 377 nt
Filed under: uncultured eukaryote
Lineage: Eukaryota
Description: partial 18S ribosomal RNA
Rfam family: Eukaryotic small subunit ribosomal RNA
Source: RNAcentral